Molecule: ribosomal RNA, 348 nt
Filed under: uncultured eukaryote
Lineage: Eukaryota
Description: SSU rRNA
Rfam family: Eukaryotic small subunit ribosomal RNA
Source: RNAcentral
AUAGCGUAUAUUAAAGUUGUUGCCGUUAAAAAGCUCGUAGUCGAACUUCGGUCCCUGUGAGCCGGUCCGCCUUAUUGGUGUGUACUUGCUUUGCGGGGACUUACCUCCUGGUGAACUGCCAUGUCCUUUACUGGGUGUGGUAGCGAACCAGGACGUUUACUUUGAAAAAAUUAGAGUGUUCAAAGCAGGCCUACGCCCGAAUACAUUAGCAUGGAAUAAUAGAAUAGGACGCGCGUUCCCAUUUUGUUGGUUUCUGAGAUCGCCGUAAUGAUUAAUAGGGAUAGUUGGGGGCAUUUGUAUUCCGUCGUCAGAGGUGAAAUUCUUGGAUUGCCGGAAGACAAACUACUG